This 6027-nucleotide long non-coding RNA is filed under the name Sus scrofa (pig). RNAcentral's name for it is "lncRNA (ENSSSCG00000054566.1)". Lineage: Eukaryota; Metazoa; Chordata; Mammalia; Artiodactyla; Suidae. The record is from RNAcentral.
GGACCUUCGUGGUUGUGCUGCCUAUUGUCCAAUAUCCGAAAACAGUUGUUUAUUGUAUUUUAUCUAGUUUUCUAGUGGUCUGGAAGGUAAUUUCAAAUUGCUUUAUUUCCUUAUAGACAGAAAAAGAAAUUUAGUUUGCCUUUAACCCUCACCCUGUUUCCCAUUGUCAUGCUUUUUUUCUCUACUACUCAGUCCCCAGCAUUAGUUUUAUCUUACUAUUUUGGGUGAGUGGGAUGGGAAAGGCUUAGCUCAUGUGCACAAGUAAAGGAAGAUAAGGAAAAGAGAGCAAAGCACCAACAAGGCAAGCAAAUCUUUCUGUUUCUAAGAUUGCUUUCUGCAUUAACAAAUUUCCCAAGCAUUUUAUGCUAAAAUAUUCUCUGUCCUUUUUUUUUUUUCAGCCUUACCUAAUGGUCUAAUUAGGUAAGAUUGUCUUCUUUCCAUAAGUCUACUAUAUUAAUGUGCUAAAUGAAUGUAUAAUUAUUUUCCUGUGUUUUAACAAAACUCUCUCAUUUUGUUAGUUUCUUAUCACUCAGUAUCCCAAAAGGAGACCUUAGGAGGUAGUAAAGAAUGGAGAAAACAUCAAGAUAUUACAAAAGUGGUAAAAAAAAAAAUUGUGUCUUAGGCACUGUGGUUAUGAGAACAUUCUUCUUGGAGUUAAUGUUUGCUUCUCAUGGAAGCAUAUUUUUUAUGUCUGCCCACAAUCAUUUAUCAUUCAUAUUUCUACCUGGGAGAGUAUUUAUUUAAGAUCCAGGAGGCCAGCUCGAAUACCCUGGAGAAGGGACCCAGAAGAUAAAGUAGAUUUUUCCCAUAUGACCUGCUUUCUGCUAUUUUUUAUUUUAUGACUUUGGCAUAACUGGUUCUUCCUUUAUUUAUCUCAAAGAUACCGAGGUUAUUUUUCAUAAACACUGUUUUCUUUAGGUAGAAUGAAGCCACUUUAAUAAACUAGUUUAACAGUAUUUGUAAAUGUCUCUUCACCACUCUAUUUUAAGAAGAUAGUAUUUAAUAUUGACAAACUUUCUUAUAUGAUGCUGUAUUUUUAUUUUCCACAGUACUAAUUAUCGUCCUAUGUACUCAAUUGGUUCUUAUGGAUUUACUUCUGCUCCACUGUAACCUGUUCUGUUGCCUCUCCACCCUACCCUCUAUACUCACUUUCUAACCUUUUCUGCUUUGCUUUGACCCCCAGGUUUACAAAAUGCAUUGUCUGGCCCCCCUUAUCUGGCUUCCUUGCCUUGGUGGUUGGGUCCAGAAAAUUGAAAAUCCCAGUAGAUGAUUGGAGGGAGAAAGAGAGAGAGGAAGGUGCAUUUCCUUUGCUGUUCUUUUUUCUCAGAGUUUGGCAAAGGCUGUGUUCUUCCAUAGAUGGCAGCUCUUUUGAGGUGACCUCUUUCUCUUAUUUCAGCUCUACCAGGGUUCAGAUACCACUGCACCUUCUAUUUGCCCCUUCAGGCUUUGGCAUAGUGACAGCUCUUCCAUUGUGGGUAAUUCACUAAGCCCUGUUAGCUGCUUUAGCCUACCCAUGCCUUUGUAAGUAGUCCCUUCAUUAAACUCUCUUCAGCUAAACACUUUUGAAUGUGGUCUUUUUCUUACUGGGAUAUGUCUGAUAUAAAUCCCUUUUCAUAUAGUGUCUGGAGAGCUCAUUUUAAAACCUAAGUCAAAUAAGGCCACUCCUCUAUUCCAAACUCUUCAAUGAUCUUCUUUACCAUUAGAAUCAAAUCCAAAUGCCUUGACAAACCUCAAGAUCUUAACUCUGCAAUUUCACAUUUUUCCAGUCUCUCCCUCUCUUAUUCUGUUCCAGCCACAAUGGUUUUCUCUAUCUUCCAUGAACAUGUCAAGCUCAUUCAUUCCUUGGGGCCUAUAUACUCGCUCUUCUUUUAACUGGCAAAGUCAUCCUCUAGGUCUUUACAUGACUGACUUCUCAUCAUUCACAUUUCUGCUCAAUCUUUACUUCCUUCAAGAGACCUUCAUUGAUCAGCUUAUCUAAAUCAAUAUUUUAUAUCUUAUUACCUUCAAUAUUCUUUCUAGAUGAGUCAACAAUUCUAGCAGAAGGAUCAUUUUCAUUUGAGACACCACCCCUCCAUUUAAAACUCAACAGGCUCUGCACAUGUGGGUUCUUUCAGAAGUGCAGCCAUGGUGUCUCUGCAGUGAGGCUUGCCACCUUUCCACUUCUCAUUUGAUGCUCAAUUUCUUCCCUUAGCUACAGGAGACUCCCACACCCUGGCUCUACUCAGACACACUAAACAUCACACAGACUGUUGUGUUCAACCUGUCUUUCAACAAUAGAAUGAACUUCUCUUCUCCAGGUUCAUUGCUUACAUACCCAAAAUCUGAUAGGUGUAUUCCAUUGUCCUAAAACUUAGUCUCCUUAGGCAAUGGAUGAAAAAAAGUAUCAUAUUAACUAAAGAUAUCUAUGAAAUAUGCUGGUCACUGAUUCUCAUUCUAGAUGAAACUGAGCCCUCCUCAGUGACUUUAAAAAUCUCAGUGGCCUGUCAAACAGUUGUCAAGUCUCUUUAGUAGAUGUUAGGAGGAGCUGGAACAGUGACUUUGCAACAAUCUCUCCUCAUAUUGAAAGAAGCAGAAUGACUUAAAAAAUCAGGUAUCCUGUUUUCCUGGGGAAUUUCCCUAGAAAAGCCUUGUUAAAUAGAAUGUUCUUUGAUGUUGGAAAUGUUCUAUAUCUGUGCUGUCCAGUGCAGGAAUCAUGAAGCACCUACAACUAUUUAACAUUUGAAAUGUGGAUAUUAGAGCGAGCAACUAAAUUUAAAUUUUAUUCAAAUUUAAGGAAUUUAAUUUUAAUUUUUUAAAAAUUUAUUAAACUAUAGUUGAUUUACAAUGUUCUGUUAAUUUCUGCUAUACAGCAAAGUGAUUCAGACAUAUGUAUAUUCUUCGUCUGUUCAUCUGGAAACCAUCCUGGAUAGAGACACAUAAUGUACAUCAAGUGUUAAUCAUCAAUCACUUUUGUAUGAGGUGUUGAUAAAAUUUGUGGUCAGUGUGGCUCAGGAAGUCUCUGACAUUCUUUGUUUUGAGUCUACACUACAGUUCUUCUCAGCUAAAUCUCAUGCUAAUUCUUCUCCAACACUCAUACCUGAUGAAAAGUCUAUUCAUUCUGAUGCUCUUAUCUCCUUCUGACAUUUUUUCAAAAUCCAUCCAUUAAAGUAUGCUAUAGAGUUGCAUAUUCCAAAGCUUUAGCUAACUCUGUUCCUAUUUUAUAAAGUUGUAUAAGUGCUGGUCUCUGGCUUUUCCCCCAUGUGAAUGGACUCCACGUGCAAUCUGCCAAACUUUCCCUUGGUGUCCUUUAAGUAGCAGAUACUAAGACGAAAUCAAACAUGUAAGGGUUCUCUUAGGAGAAAAUGCCCAGGUGAAAGGAAAGAGGCAGCUGGGGGUCCACCUGGCCAAUGGGUGAGUCUGGCCCAGAGUGGAGGGGAGAGGGAGACAGCAUUGAGUGGAGGGCCACAUAGUUCCAGAAUAGCCUUCAGGGAAGCCUCCAGAUGACGUUAGCCACUAAAGUCUUCUGUCUCUCUGGAAAGGGCCUGCUGUCCUCAGGCAUUGGCUGGAACACCUUUGGGAAUGGCAGCCUGAAACAAACACUGGAUUUCUAAGGUGGGGCUCUUGGUCAGUUACACUCUCAGUAGGAGGAGGUAGGCAAAGCUUAUUCUCAUGGCUCCCACACCUUAUUCAGUUCUGCUCCAAUUAUGAAGGAUAGACAAGAAAAUGGAAGGUGAAAAAAAAAUGUCUGAAUAUUACAUAGAGCACUCUCCCUCAUUGCUCAGAAUUAACCCCACUAAAUCCUCUAAGGGUAGUUCCACUUCUUCUCUGUCAAAUGUUUCCAUUGACUGCAGAAAUGGCGCUAGAACUAUCUCCUUGUAACUUUUCUGGGCUUUUCAGUUAAACUGUUAACCUACCUAUUUACAAAUGGGUCACACUGGAGCAGUUCAAGCAGGGCUGCAUUGGUAAUGCUUAAGGAUGGAACGUUGGACCAAUAUAAUUUUUUAACACCCCUCUAGCCAAUUCCAGGUUUGUUUUUUUGUUUUUUUUAAUUUCCAGAAUACACCAAAGAGAAGCUUUUCUUUCUUGUGUCCUGUUUGCAAGCUGCUGUACCAAUUUAUUUACAGUUUGAGGGUCUUUAAAGGGGCUUGAUGAAUAACACACUGCUUCUUCCUUCAGUUUCAGAAUAAUUAGGAAAUAAGGGGAAAAAAAAGUCAGUAGAUAGAGGCCCCCAAAUACCUUAAUUACUGGUAAAACUACUAUUGUAAAUUUGACUUAUAUCUAUGAACAAGCUGGUUCCCCAAUGCUGCAUCUAGAAUUAGGCUGCUCACCUGUUUAGCUUUGACUGCCCGAGAAUGGAGCAAGCAUCCUCUUCUCCAAGUGCAGGUUUCACCCAAGCUAUUGAGGAGAGCACAUGGUUUUCAGAACGCUUUCACAGUUUCUUUCUCAAAGUUCAUCAAUCAGGUUAACUCACCCCUCCUCUUCUGGGACUGGAUGGAUGAGGGAGGCAGAGAGAGGCCAGGAAUGUUAAAUAAACAGAGGGAAAGAUUAGCAGUGGGAAGGUACACUCCCUCCCUUACAGGGAACACAAAAUACCAAAAUGACACAUGUCAGGAAAUAUACAGAUCAGUAAUGAAACAGAGGCCAGGGACUCUCUUGUUUGUGGGUAGCCUUAAAAUUGUUUCUGGAAUUCUGAGUUCAACUAAUAGUUGCAUUUGUGUACCAUCUUCUUGUCUGGAUUCUUGAAAAAUAUGUUUUUCCUUUCUGUUUUGGCUCAAAACCUUGAGUCAGAGUGCUUUAAAAGAAGUUCAUGAAAGUUAUAAAUUCUUUCCUACCAAAAAGAUAUACAAACUCAAUUUUUGCCAUAGUGAUUAAAGGAGAGAUUGGAUUUCAUCCUGGACUCAAAACUCCCUGUCUCUUUUCUACAUUAUUUUUAUUUUGCGCGCGCGCGCGCGCGCACACACACACACACACACACACACACACAGGACUUGAGAGCCUAAAGUCCCUUUCUUUCAUUUCUAUUUUUCUUAAGCUCACUUGAGAUGAGCCAAAAUCACUAUAAUCCUGACUCUUGAAUUUAGGAGCUUAUGUGAAAUGGUCCAUAAACUCAUUCUAAGAAAAGGUAAGUUAAUGCUGUUUCUGUAUUACUGUGGAAGUAACCCCUUUCUCAAAAUCACUGUUAUGUUAUCUUUCCCAGGUCAGAAGUGCAACCUGAAUUUUAUGGAUCGGGGGGAAAAUUAUAGUAAUUGACUCAUUCGUUAUAGUGAGUUAGUAUAAUGUACUGAGUUGGAAUUUAGGCAUUGGAGUCAGGUGUAAUUGAACUUAAACCCUAGCUCUUUGACCUUGAAUGCACUACCAGACCUCUGUGGGACUUAAGUUCUUCAAAAAAUGAGUACAAUGAUAGAAUGUAUGUACAAAGCUAUGGUGAGAAUUAAAGGAGACAAUGUAUGAAAAGCAUUUAGCAUGGCACCCAGAGCAUAAUCAGCAGCCAAAAGGAAUAAGCCAUUCUUAUUUUUACCAUUAUUUUAUUCAACUUUGUAUGAACAGCAUCAGCCACAGUUGUUGACACAAAAUACAUGCUCAAGAAAUAUUUACUAAAUGAAUGACUAGGACAAGUUUAGUAGUUUAUUCUUUCUGUCCCAGUGUUGGCCUUACUAUAGUUUAUGUCAUUAUGUGGUGGAAUUCACAACACUGCCAUCCUUGAAUCCUUCUGUGACCAAGAAAAUCCAUCUGAAGGCAUGACACUAAAAAUUGUAGCAUAUCCAGCUGUUAUCUUGUUAAGAGACUAUCUGUUGAACACACAUUUACUUCAGAGUUUCUCUUCAGGAUAAAUCAAAAUGCUUUGGCUCAGAGUUCCUGACCCGGCUCAGAGGUAAGGAGCCUGACUAGCGUCCAUGAGGAUGCAGAUUCGAUCCCUCACCUCAUUCAGUGGGUUAAGGAUCUGGCGUUGUCAUAAACUGCAGUGUAGGUAGCAAAUGCGGCUCAGAUCUUGCAUUGCUGUGGCUGUGGUGUAGGCCAGCAGCUGCAGCUCCAAUUUGACCCCUAGCC